RNAcentral lists this ribosomal RNA (468 nucleotides) under uncultured bacterium. Its description in RNAcentral is "bacterial SSU rRNA". It matches the Rfam family "Bacterial small subunit ribosomal RNA", at positions 327 to 793 of the family's 1533-position model. The record is from RNAcentral.
AGCAGAGCACUCCUACGGGAGGCAGCAGUGAGGAAUAUUGGUCAAUGGAGGGAACUCUGAACCAGCCAUCCCGCGUGUAGGAAGACGGCCUUAUGGGUUGUAAACUACUUUUAUACAGGAAGAAACGUACCCUCGUGAGGGUGCCUGACGGUACUGUAGGAAUAAGCACCGGCUAACUCCGUGCCAGCAGCCGCGGUAAUACGGAGGGUGCGAGCGUUAAUCGGAAUUACUGGGCGUAAAGCGCAUGCAGGUGGUUUGUUAAGUCAGAUGUGAAAGCCCGGGGCUCAACCUCGGAACUGCAUUUGAAACUGGCAGACUAGAGUACUGUAGAGGGGGUAGAAUUUCAGGUGUAGCGGUGAAAUGCGUAGAGAUCUGAAGGAAUACCGGUGGCGAAGGCGGCCCCCUGGACAGAUACUGACACUCAGAUGCGAAAGCGUGGGGAGCAAACAGGAUUAGAUACCCUGGUAG